AUCUCUUUAGUAUAAUAAGUACAUUUGACUUCCAAUCAAUUAGCUUUGGUAUAAACCCAAAAAGAGAUA
This 69-nucleotide transfer RNA is filed under the name Hylomys suillus microtinus. RNAcentral describes it as "tRNA-Gly". It matches the Rfam family "tRNA". Rfam says of the family: Transfer RNA (tRNA) molecules are approximately 80 nucleotides in length. Their secondary structure includes four short double-helical elements and three loops (D, anti-codon, and T loops). Further hydrogen bonds mediate the characteristic L-shaped molecular structure. tRNAs have two regions of fundamental functional importance: the anti-codon, which is responsible for specific mRNA codon recognition, and the 3' end, to which the tRNAs corresponding amino acid is attached (by aminoacyl-tRNA synthetases). tRNAs cope with the degeneracy of the genetic code in two manners: having more than one tRNA (with a specific anti-codon) for a particular amino acid; and 'wobble' base-pairing, i.e. permitting non-standard base-pairing at the 3rd anti-codon position. RNAcentral also lists the same sequence under 1 other name. The record is from RNAcentral. Lineage: Eukaryota; Metazoa; Chordata; Mammalia; Eulipotyphla; Erinaceidae.